This is a long non-coding RNA of Amblyraja radiata (thorny skate), 70 nucleotides long. RefSeq lists it as uncharacterized. The transcript has 3 exons. NCBI's taxonomy places the organism in Eukaryota, Metazoa, Chordata, Chondrichthyes, Rajiformes, Rajidae. The record is from RefSeq and is a predicted model, not a curated record.
CGGCGACCCUGAUACGUCAGUUAAUGACGCCGGUGGUCGCCGAGAAAAUCGCCAAGGAGGACAGGCCCUU